CCUACGGGAGGCAGCAGUAGGGAAUCUUCCACAAUGGGCGAAAGCCUGAUGGAGCAACGCCGCGUGGGUGAAGAAGGUCUUCGGAUCGUAAAACCCUGUUGUUAGAGAAGAAAGUGCGUGAGAGUAACUGUUCACGUUUCGUCGGUAUCUAACCAGAAAGCCACGGCUAACUACGUGCCAGCAGCCGCGGUAAUACGUAGGUGGCAAGCGUUAUCCGGUUUUAUUGGGCGUAAAGGGAACGCGGGCGGUCUUUUAAGUCUGAUGGGAAAGCCUUCGGCUUAACCGGAGUAGUGCAUUGGAAACUGGUAGACUUGAGUGCAGAAGAGGAGAGUGGAACGCCAUGUGUAGCGGUGAAAUGCGUAGAUAUAUGGAAGAACACCAGUGGCGAAAGCAGCUCUCUGGUCUGUAACUGACGCUGAGGUUCGAAAGCGUGGGUAGCAAACAGGAUUAGAUACCCUAGUAGUC
This 465-nucleotide ribosomal RNA is filed under the name uncultured bacterium. Its description in RNAcentral is "partial 16S ribosomal RNA". It matches the Rfam family "Bacterial small subunit ribosomal RNA", at positions 338 to 795 of the family's 1533-position model. The record is from RNAcentral.